This 90-nucleotide transfer RNA is filed under the name Acidobacteriota bacterium. RNAcentral's name for it is "tRNA-Ser". It matches the Rfam family "tRNA". Rfam says of the family: Transfer RNA (tRNA) molecules are approximately 80 nucleotides in length. The record is from RNAcentral. Lineage: Bacteria; Pseudomonadati; Acidobacteriota.
GGAGGGGUGGCAGAGUGGUCGAAUGCACCGGUCUUGAAAACCGGCGACCCUUCACGGGGUCCGCGGGUUCGAAUCCCGCCCCCUCCGCCA